Bradysia coprophila is the source of this 716-nucleotide long non-coding RNA. The record is from RefSeq and is a predicted model, not a curated record. NCBI's taxonomy places the organism in Eukaryota, Metazoa, Arthropoda, Insecta, Diptera, Sciaridae.
ACUAAUCACACACUCUUGAGCAACUUUUUCUAUCACACUGAAUUUAACUUUUUUUUCCGAACACCAGUUGAGGACUUUGUCAAUUUAUAUAUUCUAAAAGACGAAGAAAAAAACAGAUCAGAAAUGCGAAUGGCACGGUACUGGCGGCCAUUAUGACAAAACUUAUUUUGCUCCGAUUCUAUUUUUGUCCUUUUUGCACUGCAGUCAUUUGAUUCGAGCCGAGAAACGUUGCACUAGUAUCAAAGUGAUUAAGAGGUAGUGUGCGCUAGUGUGUGUGAGCGAGUGUGUGGUAGUUUGUUUUAUAAUGUAAGUGAACGUUGUUGAAUGGAAGAGAGAGAGAUGAGCUAGAAUACUCAUACACACCGGGCAAAAGGUGACGUUUCACCCAUUUGACCAAAUAAAAUAUAAUUAUCAAUUUUAGUGAAAAUCAGUCUCAUUUCGUCGGAAAAUAAUGAGAAUUUCGGCUCUAAUACAAUACAAAAUUAAUGAUAUUUUACUGAACUUACGUUGCUAUUGACAGCGUCAAGUUAAUGGUCCUCUUUCCAGUUAAUUUACUUCAGGAAUUUUCUGUGUUUAUUUAUGUACACUAACGAGAACUGAUCAACCAACGGCUUGUCUCUAAACAAUUUUGCUAUUAAUGAUUAGAUCACCUUCUCAAGGUGCAAUGUCCAGGAUAAUAUGUGUUGAAGAUUUCAGUUUUUACAUAAAAUUCGACA